RNAcentral lists this transfer RNA (72 nucleotides) under Phrynosoma platyrhinos (Desert horned lizard). Its description in RNAcentral is "tRNA-OTHER". Lineage: Eukaryota; Metazoa; Chordata; Lepidosauria; Squamata; Phrynosomatidae. The record is from RNAcentral.
GCCAGCAUGGUGUAGUGGUUUAAGUAUUGGACUACGGUUCUGGAGCCCAGGGUUCGAUUCCCAGUUCAGCUG